CACAGAAACAGACUAUUGUUAUUCACAUUUUCCAGCUCUCCUUCACUGUGAGCAAGAACAGUGUAACAGAAGGGACUCAGCUACUGAAAGCAAACUUUCCCUUUUCUCAGGUGCUCCAGGCAGCCGUGACCACUUGGGCAUGGAGGAUUUGAGCAUUAGGUGCUGCAGAAAUGGUGCCUGCCAUCUGAAAGCCUUUGCUUCAGGUUCAAUUCUGCCUUCUCAGAGACCCUGGUAGGCUAAGUGUCUC
Molecule: long non-coding RNA, 247 nt
Organism: Junco hyemalis (dark-eyed junco)
Lineage: Eukaryota; Metazoa; Chordata; Aves; Passeriformes; Passerellidae
Source: Ensembl